This 499-nucleotide ribosomal RNA is filed under the name uncultured bacterium. RNAcentral's name for it is "partial 16S ribosomal RNA". It matches the Rfam family "Bacterial small subunit ribosomal RNA", at positions 899 to 1397 of the family's 1533-position model. The record is from RNAcentral.
ACUCAAAGGAAUAGACGGGGACCCGCACAAGCGGUGGAGCAUGUGGUUCAAUUCGAUGCUACGCGAAGAACCUUACCAGGCCUUGACAUGUAUACAGCGGAACUCAGAGAUGAGUUCUUCAUUUAGUUGGGUAUACACAGGUGUUGCAUGGCUGUCGUCAGCUCGUGUCGUGAGAUGUUGGGUUAAGUCCCGCAACGAGCGCAACCCUCAUUCAUAGUUACCAUCAGGUUAAGCUGGGGACUCUAUGGAAACUGCCGGUGACAAGCCGGAGGAAGGUGGGGACGACGUCAAGUCAUCAUGGCCCUUACGGCCUGGGCUACACACGUGCUACAAUGGCAGUCACAGUGGGUUGCGAAAUCGCAAGAUGGAGCCAAUCCCCAAAAGCUGCCCCAGUUCAGAUUGAGGGCUGCAACUCGCCCUCAUGAAGUCGGAAUCGCUAGUAAUCGUGGAUCAGCACGCCACGGUGAAUACGUUCCCGGGUCUUGUACACACCGCCCGU